Molecule: ribosomal RNA, 467 nt
Filed under: uncultured bacterium
Lineage: Bacteria
Description: partial 16S ribosomal RNA
Rfam family: Bacterial small subunit ribosomal RNA
Source: RNAcentral
ACGAACGCUGGCGGCGUGCUUAACACAUGCAAGUCGAACGGAAAGGCCCUGCUUUUGUGGGGUGCUCGAGUGGCGAACGGGUGAGUAACACGUGAGUAACCUGCCCUUGACUUUGGGAUAACUUCAGGAAACUGGGGCUAAUACCGGAUAGGAGCUCCUGCUGCAUGGUGGGGGUUGGAAAGUUUCGGCGGUUGGGGAUGGACUCGCGGCUUAUCAGCUUGUUGGUGGGGUAGUGGCUUACCAAGGCUUUGACGGGUAGCCGGCCUGAGAGGGUGACCGGCCACAUUGGGACUGAGAUACGGCCCAGACUCCUACGGGAGGCAGCAGUGGGGAAUAUUGCACAAUGGGCGGAAGCCUGAUGCGGCAACGCCGCGUGCGGGAUGACGGCCUUCGGGUUGUAAACCGCUUUCGCCUGUGACGAAGCGUGAGUGACGGUAAUGGGCAAAGAAGCACCGGCUAACUACGUG